RNAcentral lists this ribosomal RNA (253 nucleotides) under uncultured bacterium. Its description in RNAcentral is "partial 16S ribosomal RNA". It matches the Rfam family "Bacterial small subunit ribosomal RNA", at positions 524 to 776 of the family's 1533-position model. The record is from RNAcentral.
UACGGAGGGUGCAAGCGUUAAUCGGAAUUACUGGGCGUAAAGGGUGCGUAGGUGGUUUAUUAAGUUAGGUGUAAAAUUCCUGGGCUCAACCUGGGCUUGAGACUUAAAACUGAUAGACUGGAGUAUAGGAGAGGGUAGUGGAAUUUCCGGUGUAGCGGUGAAAUGCGUAGAGAUCGGAAGGAACACCAGUGGCGAAGGCGGCUACCUGGCCAGAUACUGACACUGAAGCACGAAAGCGUGGGGAGCAAACAGG